This is a small nucleolar RNA of Homo sapiens (human), 114 nucleotides long. NCBI's taxonomy places the organism in Eukaryota, Metazoa, Chordata, Mammalia, Primates, Hominidae. The record is from RefSeq and is marked validated.
AGGCCAGUGAUGUGGCACCUGCAGGUUCAUUUCCUAAUCUGUGUCUGUGCUGCAGGUUUGAGGUGACUCUCAAAUGAGAUCCUAAUAAUAGCACCUGAUACUUAACUGAGGCCU